ACUUUCCUGUGGCUAAGUCAGCAGAGCACUGCGCUAGCAACGUAAAAGUCAUGGGUUCAAACCCCAGGGAAAGCA
Danionella cerebrum is the source of this 75-nucleotide non-coding RNA. NCBI's taxonomy places the organism in Eukaryota, Metazoa, Chordata, Actinopteri, Cypriniformes, Danionidae. The record is from the annotation of a GenBank genome assembly.